GCGCUCGUAGCUCAGUGGAUAGAGUACCUGGCUUCGAACCAGAGGGUCGGGGGUUCGAUUCCCUCCGAGCGCA
RNAcentral lists this transfer RNA (73 nucleotides) under Undibacterium sp. Its description in RNAcentral is "tRNA-Arg". It matches the Rfam family "tRNA". Rfam says of the family: Transfer RNA (tRNA) molecules are approximately 80 nucleotides in length. Their secondary structure includes four short double-helical elements and three loops (D, anti-codon, and T loops). Further hydrogen bonds mediate the characteristic L-shaped molecular structure. tRNAs have two regions of fundamental functional importance: the anti-codon, which is responsible for specific mRNA codon recognition, and the 3' end, to which the tRNAs corresponding amino acid is attached (by aminoacyl-tRNA synthetases). tRNAs cope with the degeneracy of the genetic code in two manners: having more than one tRNA (with a specific anti-codon) for a particular amino acid; and 'wobble' base-pairing, i.e. permitting non-standard base-pairing at the 3rd anti-codon position. RNAcentral also lists the same sequence under 1 other name. Lineage: Bacteria; Pseudomonadati; Pseudomonadota; Betaproteobacteria; Burkholderiales; Oxalobacteraceae. The record is from RNAcentral.